GGGGCGGUGGCGGAAUUGGCAGACGCAGGGGACUUAAAAUCCUCCGGUAGAGAUACCUUGUGGGUUCGACUCCCACCCGCCCUACCA
Molecule: transfer RNA, 87 nt
Filed under: Gammaproteobacteria bacterium
Lineage: Bacteria; Pseudomonadati; Pseudomonadota; Gammaproteobacteria
Also listed under: 2 other names
Description: tRNA-Leu
Rfam family: tRNA
About the family: Transfer RNA (tRNA) molecules are approximately 80 nucleotides in length.
Source: RNAcentral